ACCCGCUGGAACUUAAGCAUAUCAAUAAGCGGAGGAAAAGAAACCAACAGGGAUUCCCCUAGUAACGGCGAGUGAAGCGGGAACAGCUCAAAUUUGAAAUCUGGCCUUCGGGUCCGAAUUGUAAUUUGCAGAGGAUGCUUUUGGUUAGGUACUUUCCGAGUUCCCUGGAACGGGACGCCUUAGAGGGUGAGAGCCCCGUACGGUUGGAUACCGAGCCUCUGUAAAGCUCCUUCGACGAGUCGAGUAGUUUGGGAAUGCUGCUCUAAAUGGGAGGUAAAUUUCUUCUAAAGCUAAAUACCGGCCAGAGACCGAUAGCGCACAAGUAGAGUGAUCGAAAGAUGAAAAGCACUUUGAAAAGAGGGUUAAAUAGCACGUGAAAUUGUUGAAAGGGAAGCGUUUAUGACCAGACUUUUUCCAGGCGAAUCAUCCGGUGUUCUCGCCGGUGCACUUCGUCUGGUUGAGGCCAGCAUCGGUUUCUGUGGGGGGAUAAAAGCGGUGGGAAUGUGGCUCCUCCGGGAGUGUUAUAGCCCGCCGUAUAAUACCUCCAUAGGGACCGAGGUUCGCGCUCUGCAAGGAUGCUGGCGUAAUGGUCAUCAACGACCCGUCUUGAAACACGGACCAAGGAGUCGAACAUUUGUGCAAGUGUUUGGGUGUUAAACCCUCACGCGUAAUGAAAGUGAACGGAGGUGAGAGCCCUUACGGGUGCAUCAUCGACCGAUCCUGAUGUUUUCGGAUGGAUUUGAGUAAGAGCAUAACUGUUCGGACCCGAAAGAUGGUGAACUAUGCGUGGAUAGGGUGAAGCCAGAGGAAACUCUGGUGGAGGCUCGCAGCGGUUCUGACGUGCAAAUCGAUCGUCAAAUCUGCGCAUGGGGGCGAAAGACUAAUCGAACCAUCUAGUAGCUGGUUACCGCCGAAGUUUCCCUCAGGAUAGCAGUGUUGUCUUCAGUUUUAUGAGGUAAAGCGAAUGAUUAGGGACUCGGGGGCGCUUUUUAGCCUUCAUCCAUUCUCAAACUUUAAAUAUGUAAGAAGCCCUUGUUACUUAAUUGAACGUGGGCAUUCGAAUGUACCAACACUAGUGGGCCAUUUUUGGUAA
RNAcentral lists this ribosomal RNA (1093 nucleotides) under Beltrania hasaneana. Its description in RNAcentral is "partial large subunit ribosomal RNA". It matches the Rfam family "Eukaryotic large subunit ribosomal RNA", at positions 23 to 1143 of the family's 3401-position model. The record is from RNAcentral. Lineage: Eukaryota; Fungi; Ascomycota; Sordariomycetes; Amphisphaeriales; Beltraniaceae.